UAGGGAAUCUUCCACAAUGGACGCAAGUCUGAUGGAGCAACGCCGCGUGAGUGAAGAAGGUUUUCGGACCGUAAAGCUCUGUUGUUGGUGAAGAAGGAUAGAGGUAGUAACUGGCCUUUAUUUGACGGUAAUCAACCAGAAAGUCACGGCUAACUACGUGCCAGCAGCCGCGGUAAUACGUAGGUGGCAAGCGUUGUCCGGAUUUAUUGGGCGUAAAGCGAGCGCAGGCGGAAGAAUAAGUCUGAUGUGAAAGCCCUCGGCUUAACCGAGGAAUUGCAUCGGAAACUGUUUUUCUUGAGUGCAGAAGAGGAGAGUAGAACUCCAUGUGUAGCGGUGGAAUGCGUAGAUAUAUGGAAGAAUACCAGUGGCGAAGGCGGCUCUCUGGUCUGCAACUGACGCUGAGGCUCGAAAGCAUGGGUAGCGAACAGGAUUAGAUACCCUGGUAGUCCAUGCCGUAAACGAUGAGUGCUAAGUGUUGGGAGGCUUCCGCCUCUCAGUGCUGCAGCUAACGCAUUAAGCACUCCGCCUGGGGGAGUACGA
Molecule: ribosomal RNA, 540 nt
Filed under: uncultured bacterium
Lineage: Bacteria
Description: partial 16S ribosomal RNA
Rfam family: Bacterial small subunit ribosomal RNA
Source: RNAcentral